GGACUACUGGGGUAUCUAAUCCGGUUUGCUCCCCCAGCUUUCAUCCCUCACCGUCGAGCGCGUUCUGGCAAGCCGCCUUCGCCACUGGUGGUCUUCAGUGGAUCAACGGAUUUUACCCCUACCCACUAAGUACCGCUUGCCUCUCCUGCCUCCUAGCUCUGUAGUAUCUCCAGCGGCCCAUCUGUUGAGCAGGUGGAUUUAACCGAAGACUUGCAAAGCCGGCUACGGAUGCUUUAGGCCCAAUAAACGUCCUGACCACUCGAGGUGCUGGUAUUACCGCGGCUGCUGACAC
Molecule: unclassified non-coding RNA, 292 nt
Filed under: uncultured fungus
Lineage: Eukaryota; Fungi
Description: sequence contains ITS1
Source: RNAcentral